RNAcentral lists this ribosomal RNA (318 nucleotides) under Bacillus velezensis. RNAcentral's name for it is "bacterial SSU rRNA". It matches the Rfam family "Bacterial small subunit ribosomal RNA", at positions 916 to 1235 of the family's 1533-position model. Lineage: Bacteria; Bacillati; Bacillota; Bacilli; Caryophanales; Bacillaceae. The record is from RNAcentral.
GGGGCCCGCACAAGCGGUGGAGCAUGUGGUUUAAUUCGAAGCAACGCGAAGAACCUUACCAGGUCUUGACAUCCUCUGACAAUCCUAGAGAUAGGACGUCCCCUUCGGGGGCAGAGUGACAGGUGGUGCAUGGUGGUCGUCAGCUCGUGUCGUGAGAUGUUGGGUUAAGUCCCGCAACGAGCGCAACCCUUGAUCUUAGUUGCCAGCAUUCAGUUGGGCACUCUAAGGUGACUGCCGGUGACAAACCGGAGGAAGGUGGGGAUGACGUCAAAUCAUCAUGCCCCUUAUGACCUGGGCUACACACGUGCUACAAUGGAC